GACUUCGGUCUCUGAGUAGAGCGGCGCACGGGUGAGUAACGCGUGGAUGAUCUACCCUUGAGUUCGGGAUAACGGUGCGAAAGCGCCGCUAAUACCGUAUAACAAUCCAUUUCAUCGUGGGUUCAAAGCAGGCCUCUUCAUGAAAGCUUGCGCUUGGGGAUGAGUCCGCGUCCCAUUAGCUUGUUGGCGGGGUAACGGCCCACCAAGGCUACGAUGGGUAGCUGGUCUGAGAGGAUGAUCAGCCACACUGGAACUGAAACACGGUCCAGACUCCUACGGGAGGCAGCAGUGGGGAAUAUUGCGCAAUGGGGGAAACCCUGACGCAGCGACGUCGUGUGAGGGAAGAAGGCCUUCGGGUCGUAAACCUCUGUCAGAAGGGAAGAACAUCCGGGAGUCGAACAGCCUCCCGGCCUGACGGUACCUUCAGAGGAAGCGCCGGCUAACUCCGUGCCAGCAGCCGCGGUAAUACGGAGGGCGCAAGCGUUAAUCGGAAUCACUGGGCGUAAAGCGUGCGUAGGCUGUUUGAUAAGUCAGGCGUGAAAUCCCUCGGCUCAACCGGGGAACUGCGUUUGAUACUGUUGAACUAGAGUCCUGGAGAGGGUGGCGGAAUUCCUGGUGUAGGAGUGAAAUCCGUAGAUAUCAGGAGGAACACCGGUGGCGAAGGCGGCCACCUGGACAGGUACUGACGCU
RNAcentral lists this ribosomal RNA (690 nucleotides) under uncultured bacterium. Its description in RNAcentral is "bacterial SSU rRNA". It matches the Rfam family "Bacterial small subunit ribosomal RNA", at positions 76 to 747 of the family's 1533-position model. The record is from RNAcentral.